Molecule: ribosomal RNA, 253 nt
Filed under: uncultured bacterium
Lineage: Bacteria
Description: partial 16S ribosomal RNA
Rfam family: Bacterial small subunit ribosomal RNA
Source: RNAcentral
GACGGAGGAUGCAAGUGUUAUCCGGAAUCACUGGGCGUAAAGCGUCUGUAGGUGGUCAAAUAAGUCAACUGUUAAAUCUUGAGGCCCAACCUCAAAAUCGCAGUCGAAACUAUUAGACUAGAGUAUAGUAGGGGUAAAGGGAAUUUCCAGUGGAGCGGUGAAAUGCGUAGAGAUUGGAAAGAACACCGAUGGCGAAGGCACUUUACUGGGCUAUUACUAACACUCAGAGACGAAAGCUAGGGUAGCAAAUGGG